ACGCUGGCGGCGUGCUUAACACAUGCAAGUCGAACGAUGAAGCCUAGCUUGCUAGGUGGAUUAGUGGCGAACGGGUGAGUAAUACGUGAGUAACCUACCUUUAACUCUGGGAUAAGCCUGGGAAACUGGGUCUAAUACCGGAUACGACCAAUCUCCGCAUGGGGUGUUGGUGGAAAGCGUUAUGUAGUGGUUAUAGAUGGGCUCACGGCCUAUCAGCUUGUUGGUGAGGUAACGGCUCACCAAGGCGACGACGGGUAGCCGGCCUGAGAGGGUGACCGGCCACACUGGGUCUGAGACACGGCCCAGACUCCUACGGGAGGCAGCAGUGGGGAAUAUUGCACAAUGGGCGCAAGCCUGAUGCAGCGACGCCGCGUGAGGGAUGACGGCCUUCGGGUUGUAAACCUCUGUUAGCAGGGAAGAAGAGAGAUUGACGGUACCUGCAGAGAAAGCGCCGGCUAACUACGUGCCAGCAGCCGCGGUAAUACGUAGGGCGCGAGCGUUGUCCGGAAUUAUUGGGCGUAAAGAGCUUGUAGGCGGUUUGUCGCGUCUGCUGUGAAAGGCCGGAGCUUAACUCCGUGUAUUGCAGUGGGUACGGGCAGACUAGAGUGCAGUAGGGGAGACUGGAAUUCCUGGUGUAGCGGUGGAAUGCGCAGAUAUCAGGAGGAACACCGAUGGCGAAGGCAGGUCUCUGGGCUGUAACUGACGCUGAGAAGCGAAAGCAUGGGGAGCGAACAGGAUUAGAUACCCUGGUAGUCCAUGCCGUAAACGUUGGGCACUAGGUGUGGGGGACAUUCCACGUUUUCCGCGCCGUAGCUAACGCAUUAAGUGCCCCGCCUGGGGAGUACGGCCGCAAGGCUAAAACUCAAAGAAAUUGACGGGGGCCCGCACAAGCGGCGGAGCAUGCGGAUUAAUUCGAUGCA
RNAcentral lists this ribosomal RNA (920 nucleotides) under uncultured bacterium. RNAcentral's name for it is "bacterial SSU rRNA". It matches the Rfam family "Bacterial small subunit ribosomal RNA", at positions 33 to 958 of the family's 1533-position model. The record is from RNAcentral.